This 301-nucleotide ribosomal RNA is filed under the name uncultured bacterium. RNAcentral describes it as "partial 16S ribosomal RNA". It matches the Rfam family "Bacterial small subunit ribosomal RNA", at positions 509 to 807 of the family's 1533-position model. The record is from RNAcentral.
CAGUAGCCACGGUAAUACGAAGGGUGCAAGCGUUAAUCGGAAUUACUGGGCGUAAAGCGUGCGUAGGCGGUUUGUUAAGUCUGCUGUGAAAUCCCCGGGCUCAACCUGGGAAUGGCAGUGGAUACUGGCAAGCUAGAGUGUGUCAGAGGAUGGUGGAAUUCUCGGUGUAGCGGUGAAAUGCGUAGAGAUCGGGAGGAACAUCAGUGGCGAAGGCGGCCAUCUGGGACAACACUGACGCUGAGGCACGAAAGCGUGGGGAGCAAACAGGAUUAGAUACCCCGGUAGUCCCUGUCUCUUAUAC